UAACCAAUCAUGGCUUUGAAGCGAGCUCUACUGUUACGUUGGCAUACAUUAAACUAUUUUGCACCGUUUUUCUCCGCAUUCAAAUGCUAGCAGUCCAUGAACAAUGGCAUCUCGGAAUUCGUUUUUCCUUCUGUUCGUUAUAGGGAUGAUGUUUUUUCUACAUCAAGUGGAAGGAAAUUUGGAAGAAGACGAAUUUGAAGGUUUAGCUUUAGUUCGAGCACAUGGUAUCAUGUUUAUUCAUUCCACUGUAAGUCCAUGGUUUAUGUCAAGGCCAAGGCAGCGACCAAGGCCAAGACCAUGGUUUAGAGCAAGGCCAAGGUCAAGAUCAAGGCCAAGACCAAGACCAAGACCCAGGGACCGCCAUCGUUCAUAUUAAACAAACAAACGUCAUCGCGUGAAUAUAAAAUGUACUGGACUUAGUGACAAAUACAACUUUCCUUUAUUUUAUGUUGGAUAAAUCAUAAGUAUUUGGGGUAUACUUACAGAAAUAAAAUGUAAACAAACACA
Long non-coding RNA from Magallana angulata, 507 nucleotides. RefSeq lists it as uncharacterized. The transcript has 2 exons. Lineage: Eukaryota; Metazoa; Mollusca; Bivalvia; Ostreida; Ostreidae. The record is from RefSeq and is a predicted model, not a curated record.